CCACAACGGGUGGAGCCUGCGGUUUAAUUGGACUCAACGCCGGACAGCUCACCGGGUAGGACAGCGAUAUGAUAGCCGGGCUGAAGACCUUGCUUGAUCAGCUGAGAGGAGGUGCAUGGCCGUCGUCAGUUCGUACUGUGAAGCAUCCUGUUAAGUCAGGCAACGAGCGAGACCCACGCCAACAGUUGCCAGCAUGUUCUCCGGAAUGAUGGGGACACUGUUGGGACCGCCUCUGCUAAAGAGGAGGAAGGAAUGGGCAACGGUAGGUCAGCAUGCCCCGAAUUACCCGGGCUACACGCGGGCUACAAUGGACAGGACAAUGGGUAUCGACACCGAAAGGUGAAGGCAAUCUCCUAAACCUGCCCUUAGUUCGGAUUGUGGGCUGUAACUCGCCCACAUGAAGCUGGAAUCCGUAGUAAUCGCGUUUCAAAAUAGCGCGGUGAAUCUGUCCCUGCUCCUU
Molecule: ribosomal RNA, 460 nt
Filed under: uncultured archaeon
Lineage: Archaea
Description: bacterial SSU rRNA
Rfam family: Archaeal small subunit ribosomal RNA
Source: RNAcentral